GGUGUUCACUUUUCUUUGCAAGGAGAUGAGUAAAUCAAAGAAGUCUCUUAGUAUGCGGGAAUUAGGUCAGCGCUCAAAUGCCGGGUACAUGGGUGGUUUUUCCUCCGUUUUACUGGUGAGUUACAUGAACAUUAUUUUGUAUAUCUUUUCAUUUUGAUAAUGAUUAUUGUUUAUGCACAUGCUAAUGUGUAGUUUCUUUUUUGUAGGUUUGUUUUUAUGAAAAAGUAGGGGAAUUAGAGUACACUUCAGAUAUUGAAAGGUUACCGCCGCUCUUUUGUGUGAAGAGUACUGGAAAGUGGAGGAGGACUACUAUGAACAAAUUAUAUAGAGUCCCGAAGUUGGUUACGGAUAAUGGCCAAGAGAAUACUCCUCUUAUUCAUACGGCAUCGCCAAUAGUAUUUGAAUCAAGGAAAGCUGAAUUAAUUUUCUUAAUUGCGGAGAAGACGUACGAGUUGAAUGAGCUCACUAUAGAAUUACGAGAAUUAGA
Asparagus officinalis (garden asparagus) is the source of this 487-nucleotide long non-coding RNA. RefSeq lists it as uncharacterized. NCBI's taxonomy places the organism in Eukaryota, Viridiplantae, Streptophyta, Magnoliopsida, Asparagales, Asparagaceae. The record is from RefSeq and is a predicted model, not a curated record. The transcript is spliced from 3 exons.